This 1422-nucleotide ribosomal RNA is filed under the name Bacillus cereus. RNAcentral's name for it is "partial 23S ribosomal RNA". It matches the Rfam family "Bacterial large subunit ribosomal RNA", at positions 1499 to 2925 of the family's 2925-position model. Lineage: Bacteria; Bacillati; Bacillota; Bacilli; Caryophanales; Bacillaceae. The record is from RNAcentral.
UGGUUGUGCACGUCCAAGCAGUUAGGCUGAUAAGUAGGCAAAUCCGCUUAUCGUGAAGGCUGAGCUGUGAUGGGGAAGCUCCUUAUGGAGCGAAGUCUUUGAUUCCCCGCUGCCAAGAAAAGCUUCUAGCGAGAUAAAAGGUGCCUGUACCGCAAACCGACACAGGUAGGCGAGGAGAGAAUCCUAAGGUGUGCGAGAGAACUCUGGUUAAGGAACUCGGCAAAAUGACCCCGUAACUUCGGGAGAAGGGGUGCUUUCUUAACGGAAAGCCGCAGUGAAUAGGCCCAAGCGACUGUUUAGCAAAAACACAGCUCUCUGCGAAGCCGUAAGGCGAAGUAUAGGGGGUGACACCUGCCCGGUGCUGGAAGGUUAAGGAGAGGGGUUAGCGUAAGCGAAGCUCUGAACUGAAGCCCCAGUAAACGGCGGCCGUAACUAUAACGGUCCUAAGGUAGCGAAAUUCCUUGUCGGGUAAGUUCCGACCCGCACGAAAGGUGUAACGAUUUGGGCACUGUCUCAACCAGAGACUCGGUGAAAUUAUAGUACCUGUGAAGAUGCAGGUUACCCGCGACAGGACGGAAAGACCCCGUGGAGCUUUACUGUAGCCUGAUAUUGAAUUUUGGUACAGUUUGUACAGGAUAGGCGGGAGCCAUUGAAACCGGAGCGCUAGCUUCGGUGGAGGCGCUGGUGGGAUACCGCCCUGACUGUAUUGAAAUUCUAACCUACGGGUCUUAUCGACCCGGGAGACAGUGUCAGGUGGGCAGUUUGACUGGGGCGGUCGCCUCCUAAAGUGUAACGGAGGCGCCCAAAGGUUCCCUCAGAAUGGUUGGAAAUCAUUCGUAGAGUGCAAAGGCAUAAGGGAGCUUGACUGCGAGACCUACAAGUCGAGCAGGGACGAAAGUCGGGCUUAGUGAUCCGGUGGUUCCGCAUGGAAGGGCCAUCGCUCAACGGAUAAAAGCUACCCCGGGGAUAACAGGCUUAUCUCCCCCAAGAGUCCACAUCGACGGGGAGGUUUGGCACCUCGAUGUCGGCUCAUCGCAUCCUGGGGCUGUAGUCGGUCCCAAGGGUUGGGCUGUUCGCCCAUUAAAGCGGUACGCGAGCUGGGUUCAGAACGUCGUGAGACAGUUCGGUCCCUAUCCGUCGUGGGCGUAGGAAAUUUGAGAGGAGCUGUCCUUAGUACGAGAGGACCGGGAUGGACGCACCGCUGGUGUACCAGUUGUUCUGCCAAGGGCAUAGCUGGGUAGCUAUGUGCGGAAGGGAUAAGUGCUGACAGCAUCUAAGCAUGAAGCCCCCCUCAAGAUGAGAUUUCCCAUAGCGUAAGCUAGUAAGAUCCCUGAAAGAUGAUCAGGUUGAUAGGUUCGAGGUGGAAGCAUGGUGACAUGUGGAGCUGACGAAUACUAAUAGAUCGAGGACUUAACCAUAUAA